RNAcentral lists this unclassified non-coding RNA (344 nucleotides) under soil metagenome. RNAcentral describes it as "partial contains 5.8S ribosomal RNA, internal transcribed spacer 2, and large subunit ribosomal RNA". The stretch from base 1 to 120 matches the Rfam family "5.8S ribosomal RNA", at positions 35 to 154 of the family's 154-position model. The record is from RNAcentral.
GAUGAAGAACGUAGCGAAAUGCGAUAACUAAUGUGAAUUGCAGAAUUCCGUGAAUCAUCGAGUCUUUGAACGCACAUUGCGCCCCCUGGUAUUCCGGGGGGCAUGCCUGUCCGAGCGUCAUUGCUGCCCAUCAAGCACGGCUUGUGUGUUGGGUCCUCGUCCCCCCCGGGGGACGUGCCCGAAAGGCAGCGGCGGCACCGCGUCCGGUCCUCGAGCGUAUGGGGCUUUGUCACCCGCUCUUGUAGGCCCGGCCGGCGCUUGCCGACACAUCAAUCUUUUUUCCAGGUUGACCUCGGAUCAGGUAGGGAUACCCGCUGAACUUAAGCAUAUCAAUAAGCGGAGGA